Molecule: long non-coding RNA, 2653 nt
Organism: Microplitis demolitor
Lineage: Eukaryota; Metazoa; Arthropoda; Insecta; Hymenoptera; Braconidae
Exons: 3
Source: RefSeq, a predicted model, not a curated record
UAUACCUGGGCUGAAAAUAUAGAGUUGCUAAGCAUUACGGACACAAACAUACAAGGUCUACAAAAACUGCGGGGACGUAAUAUAUUGGCAGCAUUUAGUUGAAGGCUUAAAGUUACUGUGUAGUUAAAUCAAAUUAGCUGCCGGUUACAUUGAUAUUACUUAUAACAAGUACCCAAUAAGCUUGACACUCAAUACGCAAAUCACAUAAAUAUGUUGCGUUAAAAUAUCUAUGUAUUUAUAAGUGAGAGAUGAUUUUUUUAUAAGCUCUCUAAGUUACACGGCCAUGAAUAAUACAAGACUCAUCAUAAUGUAGGUGUAUAGUAUAAGAGAUGAUAAAAAUCAUAGUUCUUAAAUCUAUAAGAGAUUUAAUACAUUGGUGCUGAAAUUAUAAUGGUUCUCAAGUCAAAUGCAGUAAAAUAUGCCAGUGUCCAAAUUUAAAAGACUAAAAAAACCUCUAUCUCAAAUAGUCAUUGAAUUCUAAAUACAUCUGAAAUAAAUAUCAAAGAAAUUUAACGUUAUAGGGAACAUGUAACUACUGACAUUUAUUGACACAGCACUUAACUACCAUUGUUGAUAAUUUAAUGGUAACCGUAAUUAUAAAGCUGCUAAGCAUUACGGACACAAACAUACAAGGUCUACAAAAACUGCGGGGACGUAAUAUAUUGGCAGCAUUUAGUUGAAGGCUUAAAGCUACUGUGGAGUUAAAUCGAACUAGCUGCCAAUUGCAUUGAUAUUACUUAUGACAAGUACAUAAUUAGCUUGACACUUAAUACAUAAGUCACUUAAAUAUGUUGCGUUAUAAUAUCUAUGUAUUUAUAAGUGAGAGAUGAUUUUAUAUAAGCUUUCUAAGUUACACGGUCAUGAAUAAUACAAGACUCAUCAUAAUGUAGGUGUAUAGUAUAAGAGAUGAUAAAAAUCAUAGGUCUUAAAUCUAUAAGAGAUUUAAUACGUUGGUGCUGAAAUUAUAGUGGUUCUAAAGUCAAAUGCAUUGAAAUAUGGCAAUGUCUAAAUUUGAAAGACUAAAAAAACCUCUAUCUCAAACAAUCAUUGGAAUCAAAUACAUGCGCCAUAAAUAUCAACCGCUUCGUAGCUCUAUAGGGAACAAACAGCAACUGACGUUCAGUAGCACUGUAGAUAACUAGCUUUUAGGACAAUUCGAUGGCACCCAUUAUUGAACGUCAAUUAUAAAAGGAUUAAAUAUAAAUUAUGUCUAUUCAUGUUCCAAGAUAAAAGUUCCUUUUAAACUAAACGAUCUUUCAUUCCAGGAUAACUAUUUAUGAAGCUACAAGCAGCUAUUAAAUGAUGAAAUUAGAGUUGAUUCGGCUAUAUUAUUUAUUUAAAGAAAUUUUCCAUAAUAUUGGAUAAGUAUAUUUUUUAAAUUAAAAAAAAAAUAUCAUUAAUUUAAAUUUCUUUUUAUUCCUAUUGUAGAUUACAUUAAAAAUUGUACCAGAAAAAUAAAUUACAAGGAUACAAAAAAAAAAGUUAACUCAAUUUAACUCGUAUUCACUGUAGAAGAUUAAUCGCACCUUUGUCACAUACGCAUCGAUGAUUCCAUAAUAUCGUAGAGUUUUCAUCAUCAGUACUUAUUUAUGGAAUAAUUAUUCAUUCACACCAGUAUUAUAAAUGCGUUAAUAAAAUUGCAAUUGUUUAAUAUAAUUGAUAAAUUUUACAUCUUUGAAAAUAAUGUUUUUGAGCUACAUUAAUUUUUCAUUCCAAAAGAAAAUAUAAUUAUGUCAAACCCCUUACAUAUAGCAUGAACGCUAUUAUUGCUUAUUAAAUAAUUAUAGCCUGCUAUAGUAUUUGAUUUUGUAUAAUUAAGUUUUAUAAAAAUAUUUAGAAAGGAUAAAUGUAACGAAUAGUUUACAAUUGAAAUUUGUAAAAUUAAAUUAUUGCGUUUCAUUUUAUUAUCAUAAAUUUUUUUUACUAAGUUAAAGUCUUAUGAAUAAAUAAAUUUAUACCAAGACAUAGAAUAAUAAAGUAAUCCGUAUAUUAGGUAAUUUAGUUUGUAGUAUUGUCGGAAUUCCUAUUAAAUCAUUCAAUUCUGUCCAUUUAUUCUGAAUUGUCCGAGUAUAAGUUAUAAAAUGUCCAAUACCGUUCGGUAGAUUCGAUGAUCGGAAUUCAAUCACUCCAGUCAGAAAAUAUUUUUUAUCCUGAAUAUUUAGAUUUAUUGGAAUUUCCUUUAAAUUAGUACUUAAUAAUGCUCGUUCAUCUUUUCUUGAUGAAAGCGUUUUUUCAUAAAAAUGAUACACAUUCAAACAUAGAUAUGUAUCGAUAUUCAUUGUUCGACCGGUUACGUUCUCUUUACAUUUUUUACAAUAAAAUGUUUCUUUUUUAAUAUCAUUCAAAAUACUUUGUUCCAAGAGGUGAAAUCCAUUAUUCCAUAUUAAUUUUGCGUUAACAUUAAAUACUGAUAUUUUUUUUGUUGCAGAAGAUUUACAUUUAGUGCAAUAUGUUUGUUCAGAGAUAGAUUCAUAAUGUAUUAGCAAAUUUUCAAUCAGUGUACUGACAUCGUCUACACAGUCAAUAGUAUAAUCUUUUUCAGGGUACAUUUUCCGUAAGAAAUGAAGUCUUUUACUGUAGAAUUCCGCGGUGGCACCAUGUUCAGCAUAAAAUUUAUGCAAAAGAUAAAAGUUCAGUGAUACUAUCGAAUGGG